CCUACGGGAGGCAGCAGUGAGGAAUAUUGGUCAAUGGACGGAAGUCUGAACCAGCCAUGCCGCGUGCAGGAAGACGGUUCUAUGAGUUGUAAACUGCUUUUGUACAAGGGUAAACCUGAAUACGUGUAUUCAGCUGAAAGUACUGUACGAAUAAGGAUCGGCUAACUCCGUGCCAGCAGCCGCGGUAAUACGGAGGAUCCAAGCGUUAUCCGGAUUUAUUGGGUUUAAAGGGUGCGUAGGCGGAUUGAUAAGUUAGAGGUUAAAUGUCCGAGCUUAACUCGGGAACUGCCUCUAAUACUGUUGAUCUAGAGAGUAGAUGCGGUAGGCGGAAUGUAUGGUGUAGCGGUGAAAUGCUUAGAGAUCAUACAGAACACCGAUUGCGAAGGCAGCUUACCAAUCUAUAUCUGACGUUGAGGCACGAAAGCGUGGGGAGCAAACAGGAUUAGAUACCCCGGUAGUC
Molecule: ribosomal RNA, 460 nt
Filed under: uncultured bacterium
Lineage: Bacteria
Description: partial 16S ribosomal RNA
Rfam family: Bacterial small subunit ribosomal RNA
Source: RNAcentral